This 580-nucleotide ribosomal RNA is filed under the name uncultured bacterium. RNAcentral describes it as "bacterial SSU rRNA". It matches the Rfam family "Bacterial small subunit ribosomal RNA", at positions 338 to 916 of the family's 1533-position model. The record is from RNAcentral.
CCUACGGGAGGCAGCAGUAAGGAAUAUUGGUCAAUGGAGGCAACUCUGAACCAGCCAUGCCGCGUGCAGGAAGACAGCCCUAUGGGUCGUAAACUGCUUUUAUACGGGAAUAAACUUUGAUUCGUGAAUCAAGCUGAAUGUACCGUAAGAAUAAGGAUCGGCUAACUCCGUGCCAGCAGCCGCGGUAAUACGGAGGAUCCAAGCGUUAUCCGGGUAUUUAUUGGGUUUAAAGGGAGCGUAGGCGGCCUAUUAAGUCAGGGGUGAAAGACGGUGGCUCAACCAUCGCAGUGCCUUUGAUACUGAUGGGGCUUGAAUAUAGUUGAGGUAGGCGGAAUGUGACAAGUAGCGGUGAAAUGCAUAGAUAUGUCACAGAACACCGAUUGCGAAGGCAGCUUACUAAGCUAUGAUUGACGCUGAGGCUCGAAAGCGUGGGGAUCAAACAGGAUUAGAUACCCUGGUAGUCCACGCCCUAAACGAUGAUAACUCGAUGUUGGCGAUAUACAGUCAGCGUCCAAGCGAAAGCGUUAAGUUAUCCACCUGGGGAGUUACGCCGCGAGGGUGAACUUCGAAGGAUUGACGG